GCCCCUCCCCAGGUGCCCCGGCAGCGCCGCGUGUGGGCGGGCGGCGGUUGUGGGGGCGUUGGAGGCGCGGGAUCCUCCGCGGGCGCGGCGGGAUUCGUACCUCAGCGCCCGGCUCAGAAAAGUCUUUGAACUCAGCCUUGGCUUUCGGCUCGUGCUGGGACGGCGGAUUUCGGCAUCCGCGUCUGAGGUGUUGAGCGAUGGGUGUCGACGGAUGUCUUUGCCCGAGUUAGCAGCGCGUUGGCAAGCGCGUGGAAGGGGACGUAAACAAGGUUGUAGGCACAGCUUUCCUACAUUGAGAAAGCGAAGGGCAGUAACGAGGCGGAAUGGCUGCAGCGUUCUGCUCUACUUACGAGGAGAUAAAGCUGAGUGAGAUUCCUGCUACGCAGCAGAGAAGUGCAAAUGCUGAUUAAAAAGCGUUAUUUAAAACUCGGCGUUAACGACAGGCUCUGUGCUGCAGCCCGGUAGCCCCUGUGAGCCAACUGCAGCUGCUCUUGUGGUGACUUUCCAGCUUUCCACUGAAAAGCCUACGAAAAGAAUGAGAAAGUGCAGCGCUGUUGCUGAAGGCAAGUCUGAGGAGGGACUGCAGGAACAGCUUCCACACAGUGACUCUUCCACCUUAUUUACUGUGCUAAAGCAUAAACAGUCGAUGGCUUUACGGAGUGUGUGUCCAUCCCAAACGACUUGGAAAGCAUCCAGGUGACGUUUAGGGAAGCCAGGUGAGGAAUGAGAGUUAGCCUCGUGGAAGCAUUUUAUUGUCUUCAGUCCUGGAGCUUGAUCCUUCUCCGUUCAAGUCAACAAGGGGAUCUGGUUGACUGAUGGAAAAGAGCAGAGCCCUUACUGCCAAGGAUGAGCAAAUGAUUUUUUUUAAUGUGUUCUUACCUAAGCUACGUGCUGAUGCCCAUACUGUAUUUCUGCUACACAGCAUGUGAGAACCACAUUCUUAUUUCUUGUGAGGAUCAAACGUACACCAAUCACACCUCUGUCAUUGAGUUUGUGAAAUGAGAGCACCCAGAGCACCCGCUGGAUGUUUGAGUAGUUUAUCAGGUAGUUUCAUUUAGACUGUAGGCUGUUAAUUAAUUAAGUGUUAAUUACCAAGAUGCAUUCAAGACUUUCUCAACACACAGAGUUACUCCAAGCUGAUGUAUCACCCAGUACCAUAGUUAAUUACUACUAUGCUAUGAAAAACAUUUUAAAAGAUGGUGAAUAAAACCAUAAAAUAAUUGA
Molecule: long non-coding RNA, 1224 nt
Organism: Gallus gallus (chicken)
Lineage: Eukaryota; Metazoa; Chordata; Aves; Galliformes; Phasianidae
Exons: 2
Source: RefSeq, a predicted model, not a curated record